UACGGAGGGUGCAAGCAUUGAUCGGAAUUACUGGGCGUAAAGGGCGCGUAGGCGGUUUUGAAAGUCAGAUGUGAAAUUCCGGGGCUCAACCCCGGAGCUGCAUUUGAGACUUCAGAGCUAGAGGUCAGUUAGGGAAAACGGAAUUCCACGUGUAGCGGUGAAAUGCGUAGAUAUGUGGAAGAACACCAGUGGUGAAGACGGUUUUCUGGGCUGAUACUGACGCUGAGGCGCGAAAGCAAGGGGAGCAAACAGG
Molecule: ribosomal RNA, 253 nt
Filed under: uncultured prokaryote
Description: partial 16S ribosomal RNA
Rfam family: Bacterial small subunit ribosomal RNA
Source: RNAcentral